UGAGAGAGAAAACCAAAGGCAUCCUGAACGCAAGCAACCUCCCGGUCUAGUCCCGAAGAAGACCUAUUUGUUCCUCCGAUGCUCCCACGCUUUCUGCAGCCUUCGUCCGCCAUUGUUGGGUUCUUCGUGCCCACCUCCGCCCCUCACUUCUCCUACUCCCUCCGUAGUCUUCAUUUUUCCUCUCACUUUCUUGGUCUCUCAUCUUCCACCUCUGGUGCCAACGUCCAGCAGCAGCAUCGUCAAGAAGAGCAUGGACAUGGCGUUUCCUCGAAAUUGGGACCUGUAAAAUCUGGUUUAUACCUAGUUGCAACGCCAAUUGGAAAUCUUGAAGAUAUCACCUUACGGGCAUUGCGCAUUCUUAAAUCUGCAGAUUUAAUACUUUCUGAAGACACAAGACAUUCUAGGAAGUUGCUUCUGUACUAUGGAAUUACAACUCCACUUCUUAGUUAUCAUAAAUUCAAUGAGUCUGAACGUGAACGUUCGAUAUUACAAAAGCUUCGACUAGGUGAAGUCAUUGCACUAAUUAGUGAUGCUGGUACCCCAUGCAUCAGUGAUCCUGGUAUGGAACUGGCAAAGGUAUGUGUGAAAGAAAAUAUACCUGUUGUUCCUAUCCCCGGGCCAUCAGCUUUAGUUUGUGCUCUUUCAGCUUGUGGCUUGUCUACUGAUGAAUUCAAAUUUGUUGGAUUUCUAUCCAAGCAUGCACGGACAAGAAGAGAAAAACUUAAAGUUUCUGCUGCUGAUACUGCAACACAAAUAUUCUUUGUACCUCCCCAUAAGCUUCAUCAAUUUCUUGAGGAAGCGUCCCUAAUUUUUGGAGAUGCAAGGUCAUGUGUUAUUGCACGGGAAAUGACAAAAAUUCAUGAAGAGGUAUUUGAUGUCCACCAUGUAUCGAGGUGGAUCUGUUCUUGUUUUGGCGAGGCACAUUGGGUGAAGCAAACAAGAUAUGCUCAACUCAGCAGCCAAAGGGAGAAAUAACACUUUUGAUUGAGGGAAAGAUGGCUUCUGAUGAGAAUGAGUUAACUGAUGACCAACUUGAGCUUGAACUUAAAGAACUUAUUUCAAAAGGCCAUAGUCUUUCCGUGGCGGUGAAAUUGGUUACCGGGGGCAUAUCAGCAAGAAGGAAACAUGUCUAUGCACUUGCACUGAAGUUGUUCGGAAAGCAAGCAGCAGGGAUGGAUGAUGAUUCAGUUCAGGAUCUAUAAGUAUGGUAAAUCCUUGACACCCUUCUCCCUAACUACAGGCACAUCCUCUGUAUCAAUGUGAAUUGUUGCAAAUCUUUGAUAGCUAUUUUUAGUUAUUCUAAUUCUUGAUAUGCAUAAGCAGUAUAAUUUCUCAUAAAUAUUUAUUUGAUAUCAGUCUUUACCUCCUUCA
RNA transcript from Zingiber officinale, 1371 nucleotides. It is a transcript of the gene named ribosomal RNA small subunit methyltransferase I-like, with no coding region annotated. The transcript has 9 exons. The record is from RefSeq and is a predicted model, not a curated record. Lineage: Eukaryota; Viridiplantae; Streptophyta; Magnoliopsida; Zingiberales; Zingiberaceae.